This 1534-nucleotide ribosomal RNA is filed under the name uncultured bacterium. Its description in RNAcentral is "bacterial SSU rRNA". It matches the Rfam family "Bacterial small subunit ribosomal RNA". The record is from RNAcentral.
AGAGUUUGAUCAUGGCUCAGAACGAACGCUGGCGGCGUGCUUAACACAUGCAAGUCGUACGAGAACGUCCGCUUCGGCGGAUUAGUAGAGUGGCGCACGGGUGCGUAACACGUGGGUAAUCUACCCUGAAGAUUGGGAUAACAUGGGGAAACCCAUGCUAAUACCGAAUAUCCCUGCAUAGCAUACGCUAUGCAGGUAAAGGCGGCCUCUAUUUAUAAGCUGUCGCUUUAGGAUGAGCCCGCGGCCUAUCAGGUUGUUGGUGAGGUAAUGGCUCACCAAGCCUACGACGGGUAGCUGGUCUGAGAGGAUGACCAGCCACAUUGGAACUGAAACACGGUCCAGACUCCUACGGGAGGCAGCAGUGGGGAAUAUUGCGCAAUGGGGGAAACCCUGACGCAGCGACGCCGCGUGGAGGAUGAAGGCCUUCGGGUUGUAAACUCCUGUCAGUGGGGAAGAAGGAAUGAGUGCCAAUACCACUCUGACUUGACGGUACCCGCAGAGGAAGCACCGGCUAACUACGUGCCAGCAGCCGCGGUAAUACGUAGGGUGCAAGCGUUGUUCGGAAUUACUGGGCGUAAAGAGUGCGCAGGCGGCUCUGUUAGUCUAAUGUGAAAUCCUUGGGCUCAACCCAAGAACUGCAUUAGAUACUGCAGGGCUAGAGUGCGGGAGAGGUAAGCGGAAUUCCUGGUGAAGGGGUGAAAUCCGUAGAUAUCAGGAAGAACACCGGCGGCGAAGGCGGCUUACUGGAACGCAACUGACGCUCAUGCACGAAAGCGUGGGGAGCAAACAGGAUUAGAUACCCUGGUAGUCCACGCCCUAAACGAUGGAUACUGGGUGUUGGGAAGAUUAUUUCUCAGUGCCGUAAGCUAACGCAUUAAGUAUCCCGCCUGGGGGAGUUACGGCCGCAAGGCUAAAACUCAAAAGGAAUUGACGGGGGGGCCCGCACAAGCGGUGGAGCAUGUGGUUUAAUUGGAAGAUACACGGAAGAACCUUACCUAGGCUUGACAUGUUUAUGAAAGCUUUGCGAAAGCAAAGCCCUCUUUGAGCUUGCUUAGAGACAUAAUCACAGGUGCUGCAUGGCUGUCGUCAGCUCGUGUCGUGAGAUGUUGGGUUAAGUCCCGAAACGAGCGCAACCCUCGUUACUAGUUACUAACAGGUUAAGCUGAGCACUCUAGUAAGACCGCCAGGGAUAACCUGGAGGAAGGUGGGGAUGACGUCAAGUCAUCACGGCCCUUAUGCUUAGGGCUACACACGUGCUACAAUGGGGCGUACAAAGGGUUGCGAACCCGCGAGGGCAAGCUAAUCCCAAAAAGCGCUCCUCAGUUCGGAUUGCACUCUGCAACUCGAGUGCAUGAAGCUGGAAUCGCUAGUAAUCGCAGGUCAGCUAUACUGCGGUGAAUACGUUCCCGGGCCUUGUACACACCGCCCGUCACACCAUGGGAGUUGGUUCUACUGGAAGACGGUAAGCUAACCCUUAAAGGGAGGCAGCCGUUCAUGGUAGGGUCAGCAACUGGGGUGAAGUCGUAACAAGGUA